Vespa velutina is the source of this 2306-nucleotide long non-coding RNA. RefSeq lists it as uncharacterized. The transcript has 2 exons. The record is from RefSeq and is a predicted model, not a curated record. NCBI's taxonomy places the organism in Eukaryota, Metazoa, Arthropoda, Insecta, Hymenoptera, Vespidae.
UCAACCCAUAUUUCCUGGAAUACAUUUUUCCACAAUAUAUACAAAGAUGACCUUCUUUAGAUUUUCCAAGGUUACUGGCAAUAGUUUCAAUCUCUGCAGCAUGAGCAGUCGAUUGUCUUUCUAAUACGGGUUGUCUCUCACUACUCGCGGUUGGUGGACAAAGAUCGGAUAAAACGUCGGGUCCAUUCAUAUAUGUGUAUGGUUUAAACGCCGACGGUCGAUUUAACAAAUUGUGCCUGAUAGAAUAUAUCGAGGCCAACAAGUGUGGUGAAAUUUGUCCAGGAGAAGGUUGAUUCGAAGAUGAAGGAGAAAACUGAUUAGAUGACGUAGGUGAUGGAUUUAAGGAUCUAUGGGAAUUUGGAGGCUCGAUGAGGAUUGGCGAAAUUAUAGCCGUGGGAGCGGUUAAUUGAAAUCGGAAAGGUGUUGGAGGACAUAAAUUUGAUAAUGAAGAAAUUUUCCUCGAUAGAAGAUUCCACAAAUAAUUAAGGUCUAACCGGUCACAAUCUAAGGAUACGUGAAGUUUUAGAGGAUUUGGGUAUUCGAAAACGGUAUGGCAUAUGUGACAAAUAUAUCGGUCUUGUCCUGCAACAAACAAAGAAGAUAUUAUGAGAAAAAUGAUUCGUUGAAUAAAGGAAUUUUUCUUAUCUCUUAUCAUGUUACCUUGAAUAUUACGCGGAUUUAAAAAUGGUAUAUUUAAUACGAGUAAAAGAUUUUCUGAGAACCACAAGAAUAGUAGUUCACCUGGAGCGAUAUCUCUGAUCGUUUUUAUUACUACCCCCUUUUCGCUGGGCAUUAGUAAUAUAUUAUUGGUGUGGCAAUCCGUCGCAAGACUUACUAUUUUGAGCCAAGAAGAGGCGUCAAUGUGCCUGUCUAAGCUGUAUAGUCGUCCUUCCGAUUCGGCAAUUUCAACCUGAAACUUAUUUAACUCGAUGAUCUCGGUCAUAGCAUUUUUCCUCAAAAAAGUAACUGCUCUGACGAUUGGGAGACGAUUUUGUGAUGAACUCGAUACUCCGAAUUUCUCCAGAUUCAUCAUUGAGUUGUCUGAUAUCAUUGGGGGAUACAUAAUACUUAAUUAUAAAUUAAGUAUUAUUUAAAAAUAAUUCAAACUUUGUAAUAUUCGAGUUGUAGUCGAAUACUUUCGGAAAUUAAUUGAUAAUUCUAUCGGCUUCAAGCACUAAGAAUUGCGAUCCAAGACUAAUAGAAGAUUCACUAAAACGUUCUAAUAUUUUUCACCACUAAGAACUCUAACUCAAAAUUGUUGUGAUUUAACAAUGACAAAUACUUAGAAUUCUAUAGAUUUUGGUAACCACCAAAUGAAGUGAAAAUGUCUACUAACUAUCAACCGAGUUACGCACGGCCUUUAAAUGUCCGGAUUGUUAAUUUGCCCCCCACUAGUUUUUCCUAUGAGUAUAUGUCUAAUUGUAUUUAAACGCCCUAGAGGGAGGAGACACCCUCUUCCUAUCGCAUAUCUCGAAUUAUAGUCCAAUAGUGUUACAGAAUGGUGGGGGGUGAAGUAAGCUAUUCGCUGGGGUUGGUUCGCUUUUGUAUUAGUGCAAGGUGUAAUGGUACUUCCUGCAAAUUCUUAACUCCCACUCUCAUCCAUGUAUAUUAUUUAAAUAUAUUUAUUUAUUAUUUUAAUGCAAAAACGAAAACUGUGCAGCAAGAUUUUGACACUUCACAAAACAUUUUUAUUUUAUUUUUUUAAAUACUAAGAAAAAAUUAUUUUGUAUAAUUAUAAACAAAAUUUUAUCGAUAAAAUUGAUAAAGAAAUUAAACUUUCAAAUAAACAAUUCUUUGUUGAAAUUUUGUAACGACGAACGCACUUGUUAAAAGAUGUAGACAUUUUUUUUAAAUUCUUCGAAAUAUGUUUGUCAAAAUCACAUGUUCAUAUAAAAUAUUUAACUGUGUAAUUAACAAUUUCAUUUGUUUCAACAAUUCAUGUAUUUUUAAUAAUUUAUUUAAUACAUUUUAAGUUUUGUGAAAAUGCGAUAAUUUCGAGUAAGUUUUAAGUUUAUACCUGCGCAGAUCUCGCGCUCACGGUUGCGUGACGUUAUAAACCCGUAAUAUCUAUAUCUUUUCUAUCAGCGAAAGAGAUCUACUUACUAUUUCAAAAAAUAUUAAUUAAUAAUCGCAACAACCGACAGCAAUUGAUUUAUGGUGAAAAAGAUUGUUUAACAAGCUUUAAUAAAUGUCGUAGGAAAAUGCCGAAAAAAAGAAAAAAUACAAUGUCAUUGUAAAUAACAAUAAAAAUAACAGAAUCACGAUAAAAAAUUAAUAAAACUAAUAAAUAUUUCUUAAAAAAAGUU